This 207-nucleotide unclassified non-coding RNA is filed under the name Hevea brasiliensis (rubber tree). The record is from RNAcentral. Lineage: Eukaryota; Viridiplantae; Streptophyta; Magnoliopsida; Malpighiales; Euphorbiaceae.
UUUGCUCGCUUGCGCCAUUUCUCUGCGUGUACAAAAUUCUCCUACCACUCUCCCUCUCUGCCUUUCCUUAGAGGAAUUUUUUCUUUUUUGAAAAGCUGCUUUGAAGAAUAUGAUCGUUGGAGGGUUUAGGUGUAACAGUACCUUGCGUGGUUGUUGUACUGAACCAAAUGGGUUAUUCACCAACCAACUUGUCUGCUGAGGAACUCG